RNAcentral lists this non-coding RNA (30 nucleotides) under Rattus norvegicus (Norway rat). Lineage: Eukaryota; Metazoa; Chordata; Mammalia; Rodentia; Muridae. The record is from RNAcentral.
UUUUCUGUGAUUGGUGGCUUUUCUUCAGAC